RNAcentral lists this ribosomal RNA (493 nucleotides) under uncultured Sneathia sp. RNAcentral describes it as "bacterial SSU rRNA". It matches the Rfam family "Bacterial small subunit ribosomal RNA", at positions 32 to 524 of the family's 1533-position model. The record is from RNAcentral. Lineage: Bacteria; Fusobacteriati; Fusobacteriota; Fusobacteriia; Fusobacteriales; Leptotrichiaceae.
GAUAAAACGCUGACAGAAAUGCUUAAACACAUGCAAGUCGAUGAUGGGGAGCUAAGCUUGCUAGAAAGAAAGUCAUGGCGGACGGGUGAGUAACGUGUAAAGAACUUACCAUAUAGACUGGGAUAACAGAGGGAAACUUCUGAUAAUACUGGAUAAGUUAGUAGUAGCAUACUAAGUAAUGAAAAGGUAGCAAUACGCUAUAUGAGAGCUUUUGCAUCCUAUUAGCUAGUUGGUGGGGGUAAAAGCCCUACCCAAGGCGAUGAUAGGGUAGCCGGCCUGAGAGGGUGGACGGCCACAAGGGGACUGAGAUACGGCCCUUACUCCUACGGGAGGCAGCAGUGGGGAAUAUUGGACAAUGGAGGCAACUCUGAUCCAGCAAUUCUGUGUGUGUGAAGAAGGUUUUAGGACUGUAAAACACUUUUAGUAGGGAAGAAAGAAAUGACGGUACCUACAGAAGAAGCGACGGCUAAUACGUGCCAGCAGCCGCGGUAAU